GGGGAUGUAGCUCAGUUGGUAGAGCAUAUGCUUUGCACGCAUAGGGUCGCGGGUUCGAACCCUGUCUUCUCCA
This 73-nucleotide transfer RNA is filed under the name Jenufa perforata. Its description in RNAcentral is "tRNA-Ala". It matches the Rfam family "tRNA". From Rfam's summary of the family: Transfer RNA (tRNA) molecules are approximately 80 nucleotides in length. Their secondary structure includes four short double-helical elements and three loops (D, anti-codon, and T loops). The record is from RNAcentral. Lineage: Eukaryota; Viridiplantae; Chlorophyta; Chlorophyceae.